Meleagris gallopavo (turkey) is the source of this 1718-nucleotide long non-coding RNA. RefSeq lists it as uncharacterized. The record is from RefSeq and is a predicted model, not a curated record. Lineage: Eukaryota; Metazoa; Chordata; Aves; Galliformes; Phasianidae.
AGGUGUUAUCAGAAGCAGAUUCUGCUUGGCUGCAGAGCCUCCAAUUUACCUACAGAAGAACAGUAUCAUUGGAAAAGUGAGCACUGCAGGAAAUGCUGCCUGGCAGGCCUUGCAGAGAACUUAGGACAAAAAAAAAAAAAAGGACCCAAUAAGUUGUCUGCCACAUGCAAGGGUGAGCUCCUGUUUCUUGCACGUACUAAAGAGUUGUCUGUGCUGGUAAUGGGAAAAACUUUACACCCAUUUAUCACCCUUGGCUUAGGUAUCACAUUUAACAAAAAUGUGUUUUCUUCAAUUUAUUCUGGUGACAUGUGGGCCGCGGCAAUUUUGAUCUAACAAACAUAUUUUCAAUAUUGCACAUAACCAUGUUUACAGCUAAUUUUUAAAUGCCCCUCGAUGCUUAGAAUGCACUGAGAGAAGCUGUUGCCAUAUGCAUGUGGAGGCUCUACAUACUCACGUGGCAGACUGAGUGAAGCGGUCACUGUUUGUUUUUUGUUAAUAUUUUCUAAAGUCUAAAGGCUGUGGUCGUGAGCAGGCAUGGACACACUCACUAUCCAACAUUUUUGGCUCCAAAUAUUUUCCAAGUUUUCUCUCUUCUUGAGAGACUGUUCUUGUCUUGCUCAGCCCAGGAGUCACUAAUGUACUCACAGCCACACUACAGUUCCUGCCUGGCAACAGCUCAGCUCUCAGGAAUCUACGUGGGAGAAGUAGAGGAGAAUAAAUUGCCAUCAAGCUUCUCAAAAUAACAAAACAAUGUAUGUGAAUUCUACUGUUUCAGCUGUUAAGUGCUAACAAACAGACUUCAGUGCUGUCAGGGUUCCUCCUCUUUAUCUGAGAUAAAGAAAUCAAAGGAGGAAUUUGCUGGCCAGGUCACUAACAAGUUUGCAAACCCAAGCUGCUUAGGAGGAAGUGAAACAAACAGCCAAAUGAAGUGCACCACAGGCAACACACUGUGGGAUUUUGAGAACUAGGAUAACCAUAAUACAACUGUCAAGUGCUAAACAUCUUCAAUCCACCAACAGGAGCCAGAUAUUCAUCAUUACAAUCAGAAAGGCUUUAUUGCUAUUCCUAACAUGUAUGUGUCCUCCUGCCCAGCUACAAAAUCAGCUGAGUUUGCAAUUAAACUGGUUUUGGUUGACUGUAUAGAACAGAGAUCUAUUGGUCAUGGGGAUCUGGGUGUCUGCCCAUGGAGAAUUUGUUAUGAAACAAAUUAUUAGAUCAGAGGAGCCAAAUCCCAAUCUUGCUGAAAAACAGGUGGACUGCAAGUAGGUAAACACAGGCACAAUUCCAGUUCUGAUGCUGUACUCUUCUGGAGUAGGAAUACAGUACUUCUUACCUGAAUUAUAUUCUGCUUGACUUCAGAAUUCACGUUCUUUAUAUCAGCCCUCAGGAAAGCAAGCUGAACUUCAGCUGGCUGAGAUCUCCAGCUCCUCUUGUUGUCAGGAUACCCUCUGUUGCUCAGACUACAGGCAGAGCUGCAGUGUCAGAAGAACUGAAUUCUGCUUUCUUCAGUAGUUUUGCAAGGUUGAGAACAUUGUUUGUUUAGCAGAGCCUGAUUUUCUGAGGUGCUCUCUUUUAUUAUGCGCCUCUGUUUAUUUGGAAUGAAAGUGUCUCAUGUUUGUUUCUACUAAUUGUGACUGACUUUCUGUUUUAGCUCAGCUGUGCUUAGUCAAGGUAGAAAAACCCAAACAUCCACAAAUAAAAGGCAAUGUUGUAUCACA